CGAGGGAUUUUCGGCAAUGGGCGCAAGCCUGACCGAGCAACGCCGCGUGCGGGACGACGCCCCUCGGGGUGUAAACCGCUUUUCCCUGGGGCGAGGAUGACGGUACCAGGGGAAUCAGCCCCGGCUAACUACGUGCCAGCAGCCGCGGUAAGACGUAGGGGGCGAGCGUUGUCCGGAGUUACUGGGCGUAAAGGGCGCGCAGGCGGCCCGGCGCGCCGCGCCGUGAAAGCCCCCGGCUCAACCGGGCGGAUGCGGGCGGGACGGCCGGGCUGGAGGGUGGCAGAGGCGGGCGGAAUUCCCGGUGUAGUGGUGAAAUGCGUAGAGAUCGGGAGGAACACCCGCGGCGCAGGCGGCCCGCUGGGCCACCCCUGACGCUGAGGCGCGAAGGCCCGGGGAGCGAACGG
Molecule: ribosomal RNA, 404 nt
Filed under: uncultured bacterium
Lineage: Bacteria
Description: bacterial SSU rRNA
Rfam family: Bacterial small subunit ribosomal RNA
Source: RNAcentral